GGCGUGCCUAAUACAUGCAAGUCGAACGCUUCUUUUUCCACCGGAGCUUGCUCCACCGGAAAAAGAAGAGUGGCGAACGGGUGAGUAACACGUGGGUAACCUGCCCAUCAGAAGGGGAUAACACUUGGAAACAGGUGCUAAUACCGUAUAACAAUCAAAACCGCAUGGUUUUGAUUUGAAAGGCGCUUUCGGGUGUCGCUGAUGGAUGGACCCGCGGUGCAUUAGCUAGUUGGUGAGGUAACGGCUCACCAAGGCCACGAUGCAUAGCCGACCUGAGAGGGUGAUCGGCCACAUUGGGACUGAGACACGGCCCAAACUCCUACGGGAGGCAGCAGUAGGGAAUCUUCGGCAAUGGACGAAAGUCUGACCGAGCAACGCCGCGUGAGUGAAGAAGGUUUUCGGAUCGUAAAACUCUGUUGUUAGAGAAGAACAAGGAUGAGAGUAACUGUUCAUCCCUUGACGGUAUCUAACCAGAAAGCCACGGCUAACUACGUGCCAGCAGCCGCGGUAAUACGUAGGUGGCAAGCGUUGUCCGGAUUUAUUGGGCGUAAAGCGAGCGCAGGCGGUUUCUUAAGUCUGAUGUGAAAGCCCCCGGCUCAACCGGGGAGGGUCAUUGGAAACUGGGAGACUUGAGUGCAGAAGAGGAGAGUGGAAUUCCAUGUGUAGCGGUGAAAUGCGUAGAUAUAUGGAGGAACACCAGUGGCGAAGGCGGCUCUCUGGUCUGUAACUGACGCUGAGGCUCGAAAGCGUGGGGAGCAAACAGGAUUAGAUACCCUGGUAGUCCACGCCGUAAACGAUGAGUGCUAAGUGUUGGAGGGUUUCCGCCCUUCAGUGCUGCAGCUAACGCAUUAAGCACUCCGCCUGGGGAGUACGACCGAACAGGUG
RNAcentral lists this ribosomal RNA (885 nucleotides) under Enterococcus faecium. RNAcentral's name for it is "bacterial SSU rRNA". It matches the Rfam family "Bacterial small subunit ribosomal RNA", at positions 41 to 896 of the family's 1533-position model. The record is from RNAcentral. Lineage: Bacteria; Bacillati; Bacillota; Bacilli; Lactobacillales; Enterococcaceae.